GUUCUGCUACGGCGUUGGUGACUGCCAACAACGUUUUCUGAUCUAUGUUUUUCAUUUUACGGGUGUCAAGAUGCUAGAGCCGCAGUAUACCGGGCUUGCCCUCAUUGGGCUCGUACCCGGAAACUAUACGCUCUAGCCGCGAUUCCCUCCUGGUAACCCCAGGUCAAAAACUGAGGUAAGACGGCGCUGCGGUUGAACU
Molecule: non-coding RNA, 199 nt
Filed under: Phormidesmis priestleyi Ana
Lineage: Bacteria; Bacillati; Cyanobacteriota; Cyanophyceae; Leptolyngbyales; Leptolyngbyaceae
Description: 6S RNA
Rfam family: 6S / SsrS RNA
About the family: E. coli 6S RNA was the first non coding RNA to be sequenced, but its function was unknown until recently.
Source: RNAcentral